RNAcentral lists this ribosomal RNA (253 nucleotides) under uncultured bacterium. RNAcentral's name for it is "partial 16S ribosomal RNA". It matches the Rfam family "Bacterial small subunit ribosomal RNA", at positions 524 to 776 of the family's 1533-position model. The record is from RNAcentral.
UACAGAGGUCCCGAGCGUUGUUCGGAUUCACUGGGCGUAAAGGGUGCGUAGGUGGUCGGGUAAGUCUGAGGUGAAAUCUCCGAGCCCAACUCGGAAACUGCCUUGGAUACUAUUCGGCUAGAGGGUUGGAGGGGGGACUGGAAUUCUCGGUGUAGCAGUGAAAUGCGUAGAUAUCAAGAGGAACACCUGAGGUGAAGACGGGUUGCUGGGCCAACACUGACGCUGAGGCGCGAAAGCCAGGGGAGCAAACGGG